CCUACGGGGGGCAGCAGUGGGGAAUAUUGGACAAUGGGGGCAACCCUGAUCCAGCCAUGCCGCGUGUGUAAAGAAGGCCCUCGGGUUGUAAAGCACUUUCAGUGAGGAAGAACGCCUGGUGGUUAAUACCCAUCAGGAAAGACAUCACUCACAGAAGAAGCACCGGCUAACUCCGUGCCAGCAGCCGCGGUAAUACGGAGGGUGCGAGCGUUAAUCGGAAUUACUGGGCGUAAAGCGCGCGUAGGUGGCUUGAUAAGCCGGUUGUGAAAGCCCCGGGCUCAACCUGGGAACGGCAUCCGGAACUGUCAAGCUAGAGUGCAGGAGAGGAAGGUAGAAUUCCCGGUGUAGCGGUGAAAUGCGUAGAGAUCGGGAGGAAUACCAGUGGCGAAGGCGGCCUUCUGGACUGACACUGACACUGAGGUGCGAAAGCGUGGGUAGCAAACAGGAUUAGAUACCCUGGUAGUC
Molecule: ribosomal RNA, 465 nt
Filed under: Vreelandella stevensii
Lineage: Bacteria; Pseudomonadati; Pseudomonadota; Gammaproteobacteria; Oceanospirillales; Halomonadaceae
Description: partial 16S ribosomal RNA
Rfam family: Bacterial small subunit ribosomal RNA
Source: RNAcentral